UACGAAGGGUACAAGCGUUACUCGGAAUUACUGGGCGUAAAGCGUGCGUAGGUGGUUUGUUAAGUCUGAUGUGAAAGCCCUGGGCUCAACCUGGGAAUUGCAUUGGAUACUGGCAGGCUAGAGUGCGGUAGAGGAUGGCAGAAUUCCCGGUGUAGCAGUGAAAUGCGUAGAUAUCGGGAGGAACACCAGUGGCGAAGGCGGUUGCCUGGGGCUUUGCUGACGCUGAUGCGCGAAAGCGUGGGGAGCGAUCCGG
Molecule: ribosomal RNA, 253 nt
Filed under: uncultured bacterium
Lineage: Bacteria
Description: partial 16S ribosomal RNA
Rfam family: Bacterial small subunit ribosomal RNA
Source: RNAcentral